This 449-nucleotide ribosomal RNA is filed under the name uncultured bacterium. RNAcentral's name for it is "partial 16S ribosomal RNA". It matches the Rfam family "Bacterial small subunit ribosomal RNA", at positions 28 to 523 of the family's 1533-position model. The record is from RNAcentral.
GACGAACGCUGGCGGCAUGCCUAACACAUGCAAGUCGAACGAAGCCUUCGGGCUUAGUGGCGCACGGGUGCGUAACGCGUGGGAAUCUGCCCUUGGGUUCGGAAUAACAGUUAGAAAUGACUGCUAAUACCGGAUGAUGUCUUCGGACCAAAGAUUUAUCGCCCAAGGAUGAGCCCGCGUAGGAUUAGGUAGUUGGUGGGGUAAUGGCCCACCAAGCCGACGGUCCUUAGCUGGUCUGAGAGGAUGGUCAGCCACACUGGGACUGAGAAACGGCCCAGACUCCUACGGGAGGCAGGAGUGGGUAAUAUUGGACAAUGGGCGAAAGCAUGAUCCAGCAAUGCCGCGUGAGUGAUGAAGGCCUUAGGGUUGUAAAGCUCUUUUACCAGGGAUGAUAAUGACAGUACCUGGAGAAUAAGCUCCGGCUAACUCCGUGCCAGCCGCCGCGGUAA